RNAcentral lists this ribosomal RNA (253 nucleotides) under uncultured bacterium. RNAcentral describes it as "partial 16S ribosomal RNA". It matches the Rfam family "Bacterial small subunit ribosomal RNA", at positions 524 to 776 of the family's 1533-position model. The record is from RNAcentral.
CACGUAGGGUGCGCGCGUGUCCGGAAUUAUUGGGCGUAAAGAGCUCGUAGGCGGUGUGUCGCGUCGGCCGUGAAAACCUGCAGCUUAACUGUGGGCUUGCGGUCGAUACGGGCAUCACUGGAGUUCGGCAGGGGAGACUGGAAUCCUGGUGUAGCGGUGAAAUGCGCAGAUAUCAGGAGGAACACCGGUGGCGAAGGCGGGUCUCUGGGCCGAUGACUGACGCUGAGGAGCGAAAGCGUGGGGAGCGAACAGG